Molecule: long non-coding RNA, 432 nt
Filed under: Phoenix dactylifera (date palm)
Lineage: Eukaryota; Viridiplantae; Streptophyta; Magnoliopsida; Arecales; Arecaceae
Description: long non-coding RNA (PDAC_LNC013016)
Source: RNAcentral
UACGCACAUGAAUGGCCUCUACGAGAAGUACACGCGAAGCUCUAGGUAGAUCAUCUUCCAGGUGAUGUUUUGAUAAAAAAGGUCACCCAAGGAAAAGAAAGAAAAGGACCCGUAAAGGAUCUGUUAGAAACACAAGACACGGGAGUGCUAGCUCGUGCAGGAACGCAGCAAUGGCUAAAGCUUUCUCCUUCUAAACACUCAACAUUUGAUUGUUCUUCAAGGAGAUGGAGGAUGAACGUGAGGAAGAAGGAGAAGAAGGGAUGGAGGCCCUCAGAGAAUUUUUUCAGAAUUUUUUGAAACCUUUAAAUAUGGUAUAUCUUGAACCCAAGGCAUGGGGGUCUUUUAUAGCCAAAAGACCACCCCACGCCUCACACCUAAUUUAGCCAACUAAUUUGGUUGAUAAAAUUCCCAAAAAUUUCUGGUGGUUUGGCA